CGGGUCCGAGUCUGGAUACUUAGGUUACUAAUAUAUCCAUCGGAUCUAUUUGAGCUGGUAUGGAUAGCGACUACCCGUAUACUACUCGUUCAAGACCAAAUACGGGUCGAGUCUAAAUCGGGUACAGGUACCCAUAUACAUAUUUUUUUUUAUAGGCUUUAUUAAAUAAUCUGCGGACAAACUAUAAAUCAUCCCCUAUAAAAAAAUCGCAUUCUAAUAAAUUGUACCCGGUCCAAUAAAAUUUAUUCAAAAGAAAAAUAAAAUAUCUCAAUACAUGGGUCCAAAAUAUAUACACCUACCAUAUGGUAAUAUGAACCAUGCAUAUAAUACCACAAUAUAUAUGGGACUAAAACACAUGCACCUGUUGGCUUAAAUAGGCCAGCAUUCUAUCCUGUGGCGGGAGACCAUGUUACGUCAAGUCAUGUUCGAAAUGGCGUAAGGCUCGAUGGACUGAGUCAUGUAUGUUCGAAGUGGCAUGAGACUGGUUGGGCCGAGUCUCAAUCGAGACCCGUGGGCGUUGUAUCUAUAUAUUUUAAGUGAAUUGGUUGUGCGUAUUUCUAAUAGCUCAAGCUUUUGGGAUUAAUGGUAAGCAUCAACGAUCCGACAAAUGGUAU
Molecule: long non-coding RNA, 614 nt
Filed under: Ananas comosus (pineapple)
Lineage: Eukaryota; Viridiplantae; Streptophyta; Magnoliopsida; Poales; Bromeliaceae
Description: long non-coding RNA (ACOM_LNC001574)
Source: RNAcentral